AAUGAAAUGACUUCAAUAGGUCCCGUAUAGGGUUAAUAGGGAAGUACGGUGCGAUACCGUCACAGCCCCCGCUACUGUAAAUGAUGACAAAACCUCACUAAGCCACUGUAUCAAUGGGAAGGCCAGAGGGAGUAGAGUGAUUCAUGAGUCAGGAGACCUGCCUAUUGCUAAAUGUUACU
Molecule: non-coding RNA, 179 nt
Filed under: Geosporobacter ferrireducens
Lineage: Bacteria; Bacillati; Bacillota; Clostridia; Peptostreptococcales; Thermotaleaceae
Source: RNAcentral